CUAAAAACCCACAGUGUAGAAGUAAAAACAAGACCACCCAAGCUCCAUUAUAUAUGCAUGCAAAAAAAAUUGUUGAUUUUCCAAUGCAUUGUUUUGCUUACACAAUUGCAUGAAAAAUAAUAAGUAAAGGAGUAUAUAAACUGAUUCAAGGUUUUGGCAGGUGAGACCUUCAUUCAUUUUGAAUAUACUCAGCACAGGAAGUGAGAUCAUGACCGAAGAGACUGAACAGAUUCAGAGUCUGGUUGAAUACAAUAACAAUAGUGGAGGAAGUAUUGCGGAAAGCUUUGAGGUAAGUUGCACAUUAUAAAAUUAAACAACAGAGUUAUAGUUUAUCCACUUAAAUAGAAAAAACAUUUGGUAGAUCAGCAUGUCAUUUCGCAUCACAUGUUUCAGUAUUUGUUAAGGGAAGAAUUUUUCAUUACUGAAUUACUCUUUUCAUUACUUUUUUCAUUCUUUUAUUUUAACACAUUUUAAUCGGGUUUUAAUCAUUUGCAUUAUUUAUUUUAUUUUAUUUUUAUUUAUUAAUGUUUAUGCAAAGCACUUUGAAUUGUCACUGUGUAUGAAAUGUGCAUAAUAAAUAAACUUGCCUUGCCUUGCCUUUAAUGUUAAAAGUCAUAAAAACAACAAAUGAGAGAUUGAGAGUUUUUGCAAUUUAGGAGAUUCUUCCUGAAAGCAUAAAUGUACAUUUGAUCUUUUGUGAAAUAUCGCUGUUUUUCAAAUUUACAGAAAGAGCUAUGUUAUUCCAGGAUGUCAUCUUUGCUGCUGUCUUCUUUGCUUUUUAUCCCUCAGGAAAUGCUCAUGAUAAAAACUGGGUGCAGCAGUGGCCGAGUAAAGUCUACAAAACACCAGGAGAAAACCUCACCAUGUACUGUCAGACUCAUGGAGGUCUUCAGAACGCCACGUGUUUAGUACAGUGGUUUAUCAAGAACAGCAAUGGGAACUUUGACAGCAUCGAUGAGUUCAUACAGUUUAGAGAGAGAUAUACUCAACACAAAAACAAAACGCAUUUUCACCAAGGCUUUACUCUGAUGUCCCUACAGCUCAAUGACACCGGCAGGUUCCACUGUAAUUACUUGUGCAAAAGUAACAGCACAUAUGAACAGUACUAUGGAACCGGGACGCAACUUUUUGUACAUUUAAGGAUCGAAAAUGUGUCCCUGAGCACUGCACUUUCUACCUCUGAUACUACAGGUAAGAAAAGAAUUGUGAAACUUAUUUCUUGCCACUGUUUUCAUUAUUGCUAAGUUGAUUACCUUCUCUUUUUUUCCUCAGAGGGAUUGGAGGAUGAAUCCAGAGCAAGCAUGUUUUUCCAAUUUCCCAUUUUAAUUGUUUUAUUAGCUAAACUUGUGGUAUUUAUGUUUAUGACUUUUGCUGCACUUUUUUCUUCACAUUAAAUCUGACUCUUCUGUUUAACUCUGUGCAAGGCAGGUUUAUUUAAAUGGUAAAUUUCCUCAUUAUUAAGUGCUUAAAUGACAUACUUUAGGGGAGCAAUAUGAUAUGAAUUUGGUAUAAACAGUAUUGAUUUUAAAUAAUCAAAUAAUAUAAAACUUGCACAAAAGAGUAGGUAAAUGUCAAAGCUUAAAUUAAUAACUAUUAAAAUAAAUACAUUAUUAGGAAAGAGGCUUAGUGGUUAGCACUGUCACCUCACAGCAAGAAGGUCACUGGUUCCCAGCUGUGUCGGUUGGCAUUUCUGUGUGGAGUUUGCAUGUGCUCCGGUUUCCCCCACAGUCCAAAGACAUGCGCUACAGGUGAAUUGAAUAAGCUAAACUGGCCGUAGUGUAUGUGUAUGUGUGAGUGUGUAUGGAUGUUUCCCAGUACUGGGUUACAGCUGGAAGGGCAUCCGCUGUGUAAAACAUAUGCUGGAUAGGUUGGCAGUUCAUUCCGCUGUGCGACCCCUGAUUAAUAAAGGGACUAAGCCGAAGGAAAUUGAAUGAAUGAAUGAAUAAUUCGAAAGAAGAGUAUACAAAAGUACUGUAUGAAUGUAAUGAGAAAUCUUAAAAGUUUGAAGUCUGUGAGGUUAUAUUAACAUUUAAUGUAGUUCAUUUGAACUAUUUAUCAAACAAAGCAUUUCUUUUGAGCUUUAUAUUCAUCAAUAAAUGCAGGAAAAGAUAUAUUAGUUUUCAAAAAGAAAUAUUAGAGAGCACAAGCUAACUUUUAUCCAAGCAAUAUCUUUCUGCAUGGUUUUAAAGUUAAUAUAACUACAAUGAUCCUUGAGAAAUAUGAGAGGUAAAGUAUGGCAAUGUGUUUCAGUAAGAAAAUUCACAAGCAAUGCUAAAAAAUAAAUCUUGAUUUAAUAAUAAAUCUUCAAAUAAUAUUCAAAGUGCCCUUUAGUUGUUCAGUUUAAUAAGAAUGGAAGAUCUGAAUCAUUGCGGGGGCACUGCACCCACGCAGCGAACUGGCCGGGCAUUUAAUGCACUGCCUACCCCAUUUGUAGGCCUUUUAAUAAUACUGAAACCCACAUUGCCCUUUAGUUUAAUGCAAAACAUGAAGCAGCUGUUAAAGUCUUUAAUAAUAGCACAACUUUUAUUUAAAUAUGUGUGUGACUACAUUCACUGCAUGCCUGCAUUUACAGACAUAAGCAAUUACCAGAAAUGAAAAAUACAUAACUCUCAGUAUUUAAUCAGUUGUAGGAUGAAUAUUAAUAUGCAACCAUAAAUAUAUUUUAUUAACCUCAACCAAUAUCUAAAUAAUAAGGAUACUAAUAAUAAUAAUAAUAAUAAUAAUAAUAAUAAUAAUAAUAAUAACAAUAACAACAAAUAUGGCACUCACAAGACAGAAAGAAAUGGCACAUCUGUAUUUUACGUUGUAUUAAUAAAGUAUACUUAUAUUAACAAGUCACUGAAAAAACUAUAUCAAAAGUGGCAAUUACCACAAUUGCAACUAACAUUGGUCUCAAUUUAAGCAAAUACAUAGUGUUAUAACUCACCUCACUAAUUCCUGUAUACAAGUAAUAAUCCAGUCUUUAGCAAAAUAUUUUUUAAACCAGCCUGAAAGGAAAAAGCAACAUUUAAAUUAAUGGAUAUCUAACUAGUCGGCCAUUAAAAACAAACUGUAUUUUAUAAUAUGAUUGACUGAACAUUUUACUGUCCAGUAUGGCUGUAUAUUUUUUAUCAAAA
Danio rerio (zebrafish) is the source of this 3116-nucleotide long non-coding RNA. Lineage: Eukaryota; Metazoa; Chordata; Actinopteri; Cypriniformes; Danionidae. The record is from Ensembl.